CCUACGGGUGGCUGCAGUGAGGAAUAUUGGUCAAUGGUCGAGAGACUGAACCAGCCAAGCCGCGUGAGGGAGGAAGGUACAGAGUAUCGUAAACCUCUUUUGUCAGGGAACAAAGGCGGGGACGUGUCCCCGGAUGAGUGUACCUGGAGAAAAAGCAUCGGCUAACUCCGUGCCAGUAGCCGCGGUAAUACGGAGGAUGCGAGCGUUAUCCGGAUUUAUUGGGGUUAAAGGGUGCGCAGGCGGUCUGUUAAGUCAGCGGUAAAAGCCCGGGGCUCAACCCCGGCCCGCCGUUGAAACUGGGAGUCUUGAGUUGGAGAGAAGUACGCGGAAUGCGCGGUGUAGCGGUGAAAUGCAUAGAUAUCGCGCAGAACUCCGAUUGCGAAGGCAGCAUGCCGGCUCCACACUGACGCUGAGGCACGAAAGCGUGGGUAUCGAACAGGAUUAGAUACCCGUGUAGUC
This 459-nucleotide ribosomal RNA is filed under the name uncultured bacterium. Its description in RNAcentral is "partial 16S ribosomal RNA". It matches the Rfam family "Bacterial small subunit ribosomal RNA", at positions 338 to 795 of the family's 1533-position model. The record is from RNAcentral.